GCUCAGAACGAACGCUGGCGGCAGGCUUAAUCCAUGCAAGUCGCGCGGUAAGUGCUCCUUCGGGAGUACACGAGCGGCGAACGGGUGAGUAACGGGUGGACAACCUGCCUCUUGAAGGAGAACAACAGCGGGAAACUGCUGCUAAUGCUCCGUACCUUCUGUAGUCGCAUGUCCGCAGAAGAAAGGCGCUUCUGGCGUCGUCAAGAGAUGGGUCCGCCUCCCAUUAGCUAGUUGGUGAGAUAACAGCCCACCAAGGCGACGAUGGGUAGCCGAGCUGAGAGGUUGAUCGGCCACACUGGGACUGAGACACGGCCCAGACACCUACGGGUGGCAGCAGGCGGGAAUCUUGCACAAUGGGCGAAAGCUUGAUGCAGCCAUGCCGCGUGGAGGAUGAAGGCCUUCGGGUCGUAAACUCCUUUUCUAAGGGAAGAACACCCCGGGCAGGAAACGGUCCGGGCUUGACGGUACCUUAGGAAUAAGCAACGGCUAACUCCGUGCCAGCAGCCGCGGUAAUACGGAGGUUGCAAGCGUUGUUCGGAAUUACUGGGCGUAAAGGGAGCGCAGGCUGUCAAGUCAGUCUGAAGUGAAAGCCCGGGGCUCAACCUCGGAAGUGCUUUGGAUACUGCUUGGCUUGAGUACGUCAGAGGAAAGCGGAAUUCCUGGUGUAGCGGUGAAAUGCGUAGAUAUCAGGAGGAACACCGGUGGCGAAAGCGGCUUUCUGGGACGUUACUGACGCUGAGGCUCGAAAGCGUGGGGAGCGAACGGGAUUAGAUACCCCGGUAGUCCACGCCGUAAACUUUGUGCACUAGGUGUGGGAGGCGUCGACCCCUCCCGUGCCGAAGCUAACGCAUUAAGUGCACCGCCUGGGGAGUACGGCCGCAAGGCUGAAACUCAAAGGAAUUGACGGGGGCCCGCACAAGCGGUGGAGCAUGUUCUUUAAUUCGAUGCAACGCGAAGAACCUUACCCAGGCUUGACAUCCCGCGCUACCCUUGGAAACAAGGGGUUCCCUUCGGGGACGCGGUGACAGGUGUUGCAUGGCUGUCGUCAGCUCGUGUCGUGAGAUGUUGGGUUAAGUCCCGCAACGAGCGCAACCCUUAUCCCUAGUUACCAGCGGUUCGGCCGGGCACUCUAGGGAGACUGCCGGUGAUAAACCGGAGGAAGGUGGGGAUGACGUCAAGUCAGCAUGGCCCUUAUGUCUGGGGCUAGAAACGUGCUACAAUGGCCGGUACAAAGGGCUGCGAGAUCGCGAGAUCGAGCCAAUCCCAAAAAACCGGUCUCAGUUCGGAUUGUAGUCUGCAACUCGACUGCAUGAAGCUGGGAUCGCUAGUAAUCGCGUAUCAGCCACGACGCGGUGAAUACGUUCCCGGGCCUUGUACACACCGCCCGUCACGUGACCUGAGUCGGGUGGAGCUGACGUCGCUGACCCAACCCGCAAGGGAGGGAGGUGCCUAAGCUCCGUCCGGUAAGGGGGACGAAGUC
This 1480-nucleotide ribosomal RNA is filed under the name uncultured organism. RNAcentral's name for it is "bacterial SSU rRNA". It matches the Rfam family "Bacterial small subunit ribosomal RNA". The record is from RNAcentral.